This 82-nucleotide transfer RNA is filed under the name Candidatus Rifleibacteriota bacterium. RNAcentral's name for it is "tRNA-Leu". It matches the Rfam family "tRNA". From Rfam's summary of the family: Transfer RNA (tRNA) molecules are approximately 80 nucleotides in length. Their secondary structure includes four short double-helical elements and three loops (D, anti-codon, and T loops). Lineage: Bacteria; Candidatus Rifleibacteriota. The record is from RNAcentral.
GCCGGGGUGGUGAAACUGGUAGACACGUACGUUUGAGGGGCGUAUGGGGAGACCCAUACGGGUUCAAGUCCCGUCUCCGGCA